UACGGGGGGUGCAAGCGUUGAUCGGAUUGACUGGGCGUAAAGGGAGCGUAGGCGGUCGAAAAAGUAAGUUGUGAAAUUCCGGGGCUCAACCCCGGAACUGCGUCCGAUACUGCGUGGCUAGAGGUAGGUAGGGGAGAUCGGAAUUCCUGGUGUAGCGGUGAAAUGCGCAGAUAUCAGGAGGAACACCGGUGGCGAAGGCGGAUCUCUGGGCCUUACCUGACGCUCAGGCGCGAAAGCUAGGGGAGCGAACAGG
This 253-nucleotide ribosomal RNA is filed under the name uncultured bacterium. RNAcentral's name for it is "partial 16S ribosomal RNA". It matches the Rfam family "Bacterial small subunit ribosomal RNA", at positions 524 to 776 of the family's 1533-position model. The record is from RNAcentral.